GAGUUUGAUCCUGGCUCAGGAUGAACGCUAGCGGCAGGCUUAACACAUGCAAGUCGAACGGUAACAGGUCUUCGGAUGCUGACGAGUGGCGCACGGGUGCGUAACGCGUAUACAACCUGCCUUGAACAAAGGGAUAGCCCAUGGAAACGUGGAUUAAUACCUUAUAAUGUAUAGAGAUGGCAUCGUCUUUAUAUCAAAGAUUUAUCGGUUCAAGAGGGGUGUGCGUGACAUUAGAUAGUUGGUGAGGUAACGGCUCACCAAGUCAGCGAUGUCUAGGGGUUCUGAGAGGAUGAUCCCCCACACUGGUACUGAGACACGGACCAGACUCCUACGGGAGGCAGCAGUGAGGAAUAUUGCGCAAUGGAGGAAACUCUGACGCAGCCAUGCCGCGUGAAGGAAUGAAUGCCCUAUGGGUUGUAAACUUCUUUUAUGUAGGAAGAAAUACAGAUACGUGUAUCUGUUUGACGGUACUACACGAAUAAGGACCGGCUAACUCCGUGCCAGCAGCCGCGGUAAUACGGAGGGUCCAAGCGUUAUCCGGAUUCAUUGGGUUUAAAGGGUUCGUAGGUGGAUCAAUAAGUCAGUGGUGAAAGCCCGAAGCUCAACUUCGGAACUGCCAUUGAUACUGUUGAUCUUGAAUUUGGUUGAAGUGGGCGGAAUAUGACAUGUAGCGGUGAAAUGCAUAGAUAUGUAAUGGAACACCAAUAGUGAAGACAGCUCACUAAGCCAAUAUUGACACUGAUGAACGAAAGCAUGGGUAGCGAACAGGAUUAGAUACCCUGGUAGUCCAUGCCGUAAACGAUGAUUACUAGCUAUUAGCGAUACAAUGUUAGUGGCACAGCGAAAGCGUUAAGUAAUCCACCUGGGAAGUACGGUCGCAAGAUUGAAACUCAAAGGAAUUGACG
RNAcentral lists this ribosomal RNA (905 nucleotides) under uncultured bacterium. RNAcentral describes it as "bacterial SSU rRNA". It matches the Rfam family "Bacterial small subunit ribosomal RNA", at positions 9 to 915 of the family's 1533-position model. The record is from RNAcentral.